Molecule: ribosomal RNA, 432 nt
Filed under: uncultured bacterium
Lineage: Bacteria
Description: partial 16S ribosomal RNA
Rfam family: Bacterial small subunit ribosomal RNA
Source: RNAcentral
AACGAACGCUGGCGGCAUGCCUAACACAUGCAAGUCGAACGAGACCUUCGGGUCUAGUGGCGCACGGGUGAGUAACGCGUGGGAACCUGCCCUUAGGUUCGGAAUAACUCCCCGAAAGGGGUGCUAAUACCGGAUAAUGUCUUCGGACCAAAGAUUUAUCGCCUUUGGAUGGGCCCGCGUUGGAUUAGCUAGUUGGUAGGGUAAAAGCCUACCAAGGCGACGAUCCAUAGCUGGUCUGAGAGGAUGAUCAGCCACACUGGGACUGAGACACGGCCCAGACUCCUACGGGAGGCAGCAGUGGGGAAUAUUGGACAAUGGGCGAAAGCCUGAUCCAGCAAUGCCGCGUGAGUGAUGAAGGCCUUAGGGUUGCAAAGCUCUUUUACCCGGGAUGAUAAUGACAGUACCGGGAGAAUAAGCUCCGGCUAACUCCGU